RNAcentral lists this ribosomal RNA (477 nucleotides) under uncultured bacterium. Its description in RNAcentral is "bacterial SSU rRNA". It matches the Rfam family "Bacterial small subunit ribosomal RNA", at positions 28 to 507 of the family's 1533-position model. The record is from RNAcentral.
GAUGAACGCUGGCGGCGUGCUUAACACAUGCAAGUCGAACGGAGAAAGGGUAGCUUGCUAUCUUUUCUUAGUGGCGGACGGGUGAGUAACGCGUGGGUAACCUGCCCUUUGCAGGGGGAUAACAGUGAGAAAUCACUGCUAAUACCGCAUACCAACUUCUUUCGCAUGAAGGAAGUUUGAAAGAUUUAUCGGCAAAGGAUGGACCCGCGUUGGAUUAGCUAGUUGGUGAGAUUACAGCCCACCAAGGCAACGAUCCAUAGCCGGCCUGAGAGGGUGAACGGCCACACUGGGACUGAGACACGGCCCAGACUCCUACGGGAGGCAGCAGUGGGGAAUAUUGCACAAUGGGGCGAAAGCCUGAUGCAGCGACGCCGCGUGAAGGAUGAAGGUUUUCGGAUUGUAAACUUCUAUCAGCAGGGAAGAAAGGGCUUAUAGCCUAUGACGGUACCUGACUAAGAAGCCCCGGCUAACUACGUG